GAUGAACGCUGGCGGCGUGCCUAAUACAUGCAAGUCGAGCGAACAGAUGAGGAGCUUGCUCCUCUGACGUUAGCGGCGGACGGGUGAGUAACACGUGGAUAACCUACCUAUAAGACUGGGAUAACUUCGGGAAACCGGAGCUAAUACCGGAUAAUAUAUUGAACCGCAUGGUUCAAUAGUGAAAGACGGUUUUGCUGUCACUUAUAGAUGGAUCCGCGCCGCAUUAGCUAGUUGGUAAGGUAACGGCUUACCAAGGCGACGAUGCGUAGCCGACCUGAGAGGGUGGUCGGCCACACUGGAACUGAGACACGGUCCAGACUCCUACGGGAGGCAGCAGUAGGGAAUCUUCCGCAAUGGGCGAAAGCCUGACGGAGCAACGCCGCGUGAGUGAUGAAGGUCUUCGGAUCGUAAAACUCUGUUAUUAGUGAAGAACAAAUGUGUAAGUAACUAUGCACGUCUUGACGGUACCUAAUCAGAAAGCCACGGCUAACUACGUG
Molecule: ribosomal RNA, 497 nt
Filed under: uncultured bacterium
Lineage: Bacteria
Description: partial 16S ribosomal RNA
Rfam family: Bacterial small subunit ribosomal RNA
Source: RNAcentral